Molecule: ribosomal RNA, 251 nt
Filed under: uncultured bacterium
Lineage: Bacteria
Description: partial 16S ribosomal RNA
Rfam family: Bacterial small subunit ribosomal RNA
Source: RNAcentral
UACGUAGGUGGCGAGCGUUGUCCGGAUUUACUGGGCGUAAAGGGAGCGUAGGCGGAUUUUUAAGUGAGAUGUGAAAUACUCGGGCUCAACUUGAGUGCUGCAUUUCAAACUGGAAGUCUAGAGUGCAGGAGAGGAGAAUGGAAUUCCUAGUGUAGCGGUGAAAUGCGUAGAGAUUAGGAAGAACACCAGUGGCGAAGGCGAUUCUCUGGACUGUAACUGACGCUGAGGCUCGAAAGCGUGGGGAGCAAACA